AUUGAACGCUGGCGGCAUGCUUUACACAUGCAAGUCGAACGGUAACAGGUUAAGCUGACGAGUGGCGAACGGGUGAGUAAUGCAUCGGAACGUGCCCGGUCGUGGGGGAUAACGCAGCGAAAGCUGCGCUAAUACCGCAUACGAUCUAAGGAUGAAAGAGGGGGACCGUAAGGCCUCGCGCGAUUGUAGCGGCCGAUAUCAGAUUAGCUAGUUGGUGAGGUAAAGGCCAACAAAGGCGACGAUCUGUAGCUGGUCUGAGAGGACGACCAGCCAAACUGGAACUGAGACACGGUCCAGACUCCUACGGGAGGCAGCAGUGGGGAAUUUUGGACAAUGGGCGAAAGCCUGAUCCAGCAAUGCCGCGUGCAGGAUGAAGGCCUUCGGGUUGUAAACUGCUUUUGUACGGAACGAAACGGUGAGCUCUAAUACAGUUUGCUAAUGACGGUACCGUAAGAAUAAGCACCGGCUAACUACGUGCCAGCAGCCGCCGCAG
This 493-nucleotide ribosomal RNA is filed under the name uncultured bacterium. RNAcentral describes it as "partial 16S ribosomal RNA". It matches the Rfam family "Bacterial small subunit ribosomal RNA", at positions 30 to 523 of the family's 1533-position model. The record is from RNAcentral.